GCCGACCGACGGCGAGAAGCCACAUCGCGGAGAGGCAGGGACCGUCUCCCCAUCCCGGCAACCGUCUGCCUCGACAGAUUUCACAAGUUUUUUAAAGGACUUUUAAAAAAAAAAUCCCUGCCGGGGCCUUAAACCACCGCCUGGGUCGCAAGCUAAAUUUUAAGCGUUUUAUGCUUGGCCUAGUACGUUAUUAUUACUUUCCCAGUUUACCGGAGAUGACUUGAUAUCACACGCCGGGACCAAAAGAUCGUGAAAUCCCUUCCACCAAAGCCUUCCCUUGCCCUCCUUGACCCAAGAGAUAAAAUACAGAUUAACCUGCACCCUGAGGUUUUUGCAGGACUCAGACCCGCAAAAAACACCUUCCCACCCCAUCUCCUCCCUCCCUCCAGUACCCCUUACAAUUUCCUGUGCCUUUCCUCCUUGGUUAUCAGAACAGUCUGAUCCCCUCUCCCGCUUGCUUGCGGCAGACCACGGUUCUGCUUCAGCAUCUGACGGGAGAGAGACGGUAGCUGGCCCACGAAGGCCGGGGAUAAGAAGAGACCCCCAGCUGUCAAGGGAGCUAGCCGGACCACAGACUCCAGGAAGCAAAUGUCGAGUACUAUCAAAAGAAGCCAUCUGGGAAGACCACCCACUGUGAUUCUAGCCACUCCACCAAGUGUCAAAGUGCCUGAAAAGCAGAUCCUGGGGUCACUGCUGAGUCCAGCCUCUCAGGAAAACAGGAAAAUGAGAAGGAGCCCGUAGAUGGAUGUGCACCCAUCAAGAGGCUCUAAUGUGCCUUGAUUUGGACACAUCUCCUUUUCUGUCUUCUCUGGAUUCUCAGAUAAACUAAUAACUCUUGCCUUUACUUCCUUCUCACAUCUUUUUCCAGACAUUUUUUCCUUUUCUCUCUACAUCUGGCAGUUUAGAUACACUCUUUGGAGAAAUACCCCAAAACCGCCACACUAAACACCCCAAAUUCAUUUGGAAGAAGCCAAAUCAGCCAUUCCCAGAUUCUGUAAUGACUCUUGCAGGGCAUAAGAAUAACAAGAGGUAGAAACUGGGUAGACAACUGAGACAGUUCAAGAAAAGCAGCCAGUUUCUUUGUUAGGUCUCAUCCUUGCCAGAGACCAAAUAUGCCAAAAGUGUUUGGGGGCCCUGGUCUCGAUCAUUCCUAAAUGACUCUAAGGUGAAAGCAAGUUCACCUUAAACCAUGCUUAGGUCAACACUCACCAUAACAAUAAUUUACUCCGGGGCUGGAGAGGCGGCUCCGAGGUUAAGAGAACUGGCCACUUUUCCAGAGUACCCAGAAUUCAGCUCCCAGUAUCCACAUGGCAGCUCAAAGCCGUGUGUAACCUCAGGUCCAGAGAAUCUGAGGUCUUCUUCUGAUCUCUAUUACCACCAAGCAUGCAAGUAAUUCACAGACAUACAAGCAAAACACCCAUUAACAUAAAAUUUAAUAUUUUUAAAAUAAUAAAUUUAUUCUUUCUAGAGACUUCAAAUGAUCAACAUAUGCUGGCUAAGUCUGAAAAAAAAAACUGUAAAGAAAAGGGAAAUUUUAGAGAAAGUCUAUUCCUGUUAAAGUUAUGGGUUUGUUUUUUUUUUUUCUACCAGAGGUGCUUGGCCUUGGCCGGGCAAUGACUCACAUUUCCUGGACCUUCUCUUCCUCUUUGUGCCAAUUAACCAAUUUUGUAAGAUUACAAAGUCAAGCUCUGACCAAUGGGGGAGGAGUCAUCACCUAUGUCAGGAAUAAAAAACUGAAAGCAUCUUGA
This is a long non-coding RNA of Peromyscus leucopus (white-footed mouse), 1748 nucleotides long. RefSeq lists it as uncharacterized. The transcript is spliced from 2 exons. NCBI's taxonomy places the organism in Eukaryota, Metazoa, Chordata, Mammalia, Rodentia, Cricetidae. The record is from RefSeq and is a predicted model, not a curated record.